CAAUAAGAUUAGAUCAUUAAAAAAAAAGGAGUUUAGAACUUAACUCCCUUUUCUCCAUUUCGCUUCUAUUGUUUGUUUGUUUGUAACCAAUGGUUGUGUAAAGGCGGUUAGAUGAUACUUCGUCAGAUGAUUGUACAAGGAAGGCGAUAGUUUUAUAGAAAAGAAAGAAUGGAAAAGAAUGAUAAAUAAAAAAAAAGUAAAGUAAAGAAAUUAUCGAUUGGAUCAGGCCCUUUGUGUUUUCUCCUUCAAAAUAGAUCGCUUGCCAAUUAUGCAUGGUUAGGUUCAUGAGGGCCUCUGAAAGAGGCACCCUAAUAUGGGACGGGACGAGCGAUACACGGGCCAUGUAGCUAAGGGGGCUAGGCAGACCACCAAAAGUAACGACCACCAAGAGUCAUCGUCUUUCCUUUCUUCUAUCGUAUCUGUCAAAGACACUGGCGUUUUUUUAGCUAUGCAUCACACACCUCAUGCUAAAUCGACAUACAAUCUUUUUGUAUCAUGGAAUUACCAACUUUUACACUACUAUCGAGAUUCUUCGGAACUGUAAAGGUAGCUAUUGCUGUUUGCUGUAAGAGCUAGAAAAUUUAGAUCUAGUAAGAGGACCGAAACAGAGAAUCUGGAAAUCUUUUUUUAGCGGUUUCUAAGGUUCCUUAUUCGCCCGUUAUCUCCUCAUCUUCUUCCCUGCCCCGCUAUCCAAUCUAAUUCAAGACCCAGAAAUUCGAACCUUAUAGUAUCCAGACUUUUAGACCAAGCUUUCAAGAUUAAGGGCACCCAGCUAGAAAAGCUAUAGACAUUUUUUAGGAUUCCUAUGCCCUUGCUUUCACGAAAAAAUAAAAGUCGUUGGGUCCUCUGAUGACCUAUUUAUCUUAUUAAGACAGUCCUAUUUUCGUCCAACCUUGAAUUGAGUCCCCUCCGGAGAGGGCUCCUAGCAGCAAACUUGUAU
This 940-nucleotide unclassified non-coding RNA is filed under the name Hevea brasiliensis (rubber tree). Lineage: Eukaryota; Viridiplantae; Streptophyta; Magnoliopsida; Malpighiales; Euphorbiaceae. The record is from RNAcentral.